UUUGGUGAAAUGGGGUCAAGACAAAUUGAAUUUAGGCUUACCUUGGUUGUAGUGGACGGCAUAGAGGGCAUAUGGGGCUGUGGCAAUGGUGGUUAUUCCCUUACCGUGGCCUUAUUAUUCUCCUCUUCUUCGAGCAUCAGCUGUUCAUCCAUGUUUUUGCUUGGUUUGGAUGUCUUGGGUUCACCUCCAACCUCCAUAGCACUUCCCAAAGUGAUAACAUCAUGGAUUUCAAAAUCUUCCUUCAAAUUUUCAAUAGUUGAGUUGGAUAGUUCACUUUGCUCUUGAAUUUGUGCCGUGAAUUCCAUAAUCUCUCCAAGUUGAUUUUUCAAUUCACUUAUCUCCUUUGCUUGAUUCAGCAUUAUUUCAUUUUGAUUUUGCUGCCCCUGCACCAAAGAGGUUAGUAAUUGAAAAAUUUGAUCACUAUCCGUGGACAUACUUGAAUUUGAUUGGAAUUGUUAUAGGGGAAACUGUGGUGGCUGCAUAGCUGUUAAAUAAAACUCAUCAGAUUGCUGCCAAUAUCCAUCUUGUUGAGCCUCCUUGGUUUGAUUUUGUGAGCCCUACACCAAAGAAUUUAUUUCAUCAAAAAUUCGAUCAUAAUCUAUUGACGAACCUGAGUUUGAUUGAGCAUAUUGUAUAUGAGGUUGUGAUGGCUACAUAGGUCUUGAAUGGAACUCCUCUUCUUUCUGCCAAUAUCCAUCUUGUUGGAAUUGUUGAGGUUCUAUGUAAUCUAAAUAAUCUCUCCAAUCCGAAUUGUAAGCGUUGGAAAACAUGUUGUCCCAUGAUUGGCUAUGGCCUUGAUAACCCCAAGCAUCUUCAUUCGUAGGGAAUUAAGAAUAUUGCUGAGUUGGAUAUCAUUGCCCAUAGGACAUACCACAUGUAAGGACAUUUUGCAUUGUGGUCCUUUCGACAUAUUGUGACAAUUGAGAAGUAAUUUCCGCCAAUUGAGCUUGAAUGGUAGCAAAAUCCAUGUCUUACUUCUCUAGUACCUGAAAUCAAGGAAACAAAACUAAAUCAAAUAUCAAAAGUAAAACACAAAAAAAAAAAAAAAAAAAAAAAAACGCAAACAGAAACAAAGUCAGUAAGUAAAAACAAAAGACACGAAAAUAAACAAAAAUAAAUAACAAGGGAUUAGCAAAGUUGCUAAUCCCCGGCAACGGCGCCCAAAAACUUGAUGCGAAAAUUAUCUUGACACACAAAUUUAACCCUCUUUUAACAAUUGUAGUACAAGUAUAAGUAGGGAUCGUUCUGGACCGGGGAUUAGGAGGGCUUGCUAAUAACCUCUAAACUGACUCAAAAACAUAAAACUAAAUUUAAAAACACUUAACAAGACUCACAAGACUCAAAGCAAACUAAAAAUACUCAAAACAGCUUAAAACAACCAAAUAAACUUAAACUAGACACUAGGAAUGACUUUGGACGAAAAUUGACUUUUACUUGAAUCAAAACACUUAAAAACACAAAUUAAAACAGAUUUGAAACACUUUGAAACAAGAAACUAAAAGGGGGUUUUGAUUUGGAUGAAGUUGAAACAAACAAACAAGUAUGAAAAACUAGACAGAUUGUAAAACGAAUGUGAGAAAUAAGAUAAUGGAUGGGAUAGCUAGAGGCUUUUUCUCCACACAUGACAUGUAUGCAAAUAACUCGAUUUCCAGUUACUACUUCAUUGAAUUAUGAAUGACAAUGCUCCAAAUUAACCGUGACAUCACUAAUUAACUAUCAGAUUUUCCUUAUUUGAUUGGAUUAGAUGACAUCAUUCGACAACCCAAAACAUUCUUCAAAAGUUCCCUACAUGACAUCAUAAUAGAGAUACAAUC
Molecule: long non-coding RNA, 1814 nt
Filed under: Malus domestica (apple)
Lineage: Eukaryota; Viridiplantae; Streptophyta; Magnoliopsida; Rosales; Rosaceae
Description: long non-coding RNA (MDOM_LNC018239)
Source: RNAcentral